RNAcentral lists this ribosomal RNA (426 nucleotides) under uncultured bacterium. Its description in RNAcentral is "bacterial SSU rRNA". It matches the Rfam family "Bacterial small subunit ribosomal RNA", at positions 917 to 1344 of the family's 1533-position model. The record is from RNAcentral.
GGGCCCGCACAAGCGGUGGAGUAUGUGGUUUAAUUCGAUGCAACGCGAAGAACCUUACCAGGGUUUGACAUCCUGCGAAUCUCUUGGAAACAGGAGAGUGCCUUCGGGAACGCAGUGACAGGUGGUGCAUGGCUGUCGUCAGCUCGUGUCGUGAGAUGUUGGGUUAAGUCCCGCAACGAGCGCAACCCACGUCUUUAGUUGCCAGCAUUUAGUUGGGCACUCUAGAGAGACUGCCGGUGCAAACCGUGAGGAAGGUGGGGAUGACGUCAAAUCAUCACGGCCCUUACGUCCUGGGCCACACACGUGCUACAAUGGUAGGGACAGAGGGCAGCUACCCCGCGAGGGCAAGCAAAUCCCAUAAACCGUGGCUCAGUUCAGAUCGUAGGCUGCAACUCGCCUACGUGAAGGCGGAAUCGCUAGUAAUCG